RNAcentral lists this ribosomal RNA (468 nucleotides) under uncultured bacterium. RNAcentral describes it as "partial 16S ribosomal RNA". It matches the Rfam family "Bacterial small subunit ribosomal RNA", at positions 28 to 507 of the family's 1533-position model. The record is from RNAcentral.
GACGAACGCUGGCGGCGUGCUUAACACAUGCAAGUCGAACGGAAAGGCCCUGCUUUUGUGGGGUGCUCGAGUGGCGAACGGGUGAGUAACACGUGAGUAACCUGCCCUUGACUUUGGGAUAACUUCAGGAAACUGGGGCUAAUACCGGAUAGGAGCUCCUGCUGCAUGGUGGGGGUUGGAAAGUUUCGGCGGUUGGGGAUGGACUCGCGGCUUAUGAGCUUGUUGGUGGGGUAGUGGCUGACCAAGGCUUUGACGGGUAGCCGGCCUGAGAGGGUGACCGGCCACAUUGGGACUGAGAUACGGGCCAGACUCCUACGGGAGGCAGCAGUGGGGAAUAUUGCACAAUGGGCGGAAGCCUGAUGCAGCAACGCCGCGUGCGGGAUGACGGCCUUCGGGUUGUAAACCGCUUUCGCCUGUGACGAAGCGUGAGUGACGGUAAUGGGUAAAGAAGCACCGGCUAACUACGUG